Dipodomys spectabilis (banner-tailed kangaroo rat) is the source of this 511-nucleotide long non-coding RNA. RefSeq lists it as uncharacterized. The record is from RefSeq and is a predicted model, not a curated record. The transcript has 4 exons. NCBI's taxonomy places the organism in Eukaryota, Metazoa, Chordata, Mammalia, Rodentia, Heteromyidae.
UCUAGACAUGGCGGAUUUCCGGUUCUGAUCGGCGGCAGGGAUGCCGCAGAGCGGGCAAGGAACAAGGCUAGUCUUCUCUGUGUCACUCCAAUUCAUAUUGUGUGCUGCUGAAGCGAGCCCCAUUCUACUAAUUUCUGGUGAGGUGAGUGACCAGAACCAGUUGGAAACCUACAGAAGGCAGAAGAUGUUGUGCUCCUUAGACAGAGGACACAUACUGCACUCCCACGAGGUGGGUAACACAGUCCUGUGGAGGCCUUGAUCAUCUUCUGCAACUGGUGAAGCUGUUGAUUCCAGUACCACAUCUGCUGCCGUCAUGGAUGGAUCCUCUGCCUUGAUCUCAGGAGCAGUUGGGUGAGGAGGAGGUGUCCACGGACUGCCAGGUCUGAGGAGGGCAUGUGGAGCAGCACGUAGGCCAUCAGCUUAUUCAGGUUGGCCAGGUCCUUGGACUGGCAGAAAUCCUCAGGGUACUUGUCCAGCCACAUGGCAAGCAUGGAACACAGGGUUCUGUGUG